Molecule: ribosomal RNA, 495 nt
Filed under: uncultured bacterium
Lineage: Bacteria
Description: partial 16S ribosomal RNA
Rfam family: Bacterial small subunit ribosomal RNA
Source: RNAcentral
AUGAACGCUGGCGGCGUGCCUAAUACAUGCAAGUCGAGCGGACGGACGAGAAGCUUGCUUCUCUGAUGUUAGCGGCGGACGGGUGAGUAACACGUGGAUAACCUACCUAUAAGACUGGGAUAACUUCGGGAAACGGGGGUUAAUACGGGAUAAAAUUUUGACCGGAAGGGUUACAAAUGAAAAGAGGUUUUUGUGUCUACUAUAGAUGGAUCCGCGCCGCAUUAGCUAGUUGGUAAGGUAACGGCUUACCAAGGCAACGAUGCAUAGCCGACCUGAGAGGGUGAUCGGCCACACUGGAACUGAGACACGGUCCAGACUCCUACGGGAGGCAGCAGUAGGGAAUCUUCCGCAAUGGGCGAAAGCCUGACGGAGCAACGCCGCGUGAGUGAUGAAGGUCUUCGGAUCGUAAAACUCUGUUAUUAGGGAAGAACAUAUGUGUAAGUAACUGUGCACAUCUUGACGGUACCUAAUCAGAAAGCCACGGCUAACUACGUG